Unclassified non-coding RNA from Pongo abelii (Sumatran orangutan), 148 nucleotides. It matches the Rfam family "Metazoan signal recognition particle RNA". From Rfam's summary of the family: The signal recognition particle (SRP) is a universally conserved ribonucleoprotein. It is involved in the co-translational targeting of proteins to membranes. NCBI's taxonomy places the organism in Eukaryota, Metazoa, Chordata, Mammalia, Primates, Hominidae. The record is from Ensembl.
GCUGGGUGUGGUGGCGCACACCUGUAAUCCCAGCUACUUGGGAGGCUGAGAAAGGAGAAUCGCUUGAGCCCAGGAGGCAGAGGUUGCAGUGACCCGAGAUUGUGCCACUGCGCUCCAGCCUGGGCGACAGAGCAAGACUUUGUCUCAA